RNAcentral lists this ribosomal RNA (428 nucleotides) under uncultured bacterium. RNAcentral's name for it is "bacterial SSU rRNA". It matches the Rfam family "Bacterial small subunit ribosomal RNA", at positions 355 to 775 of the family's 1533-position model. The record is from RNAcentral.
UGAGGAAUUUUGCGCAAUGGGAGCAAUCCUGACGCAGCAACGCCGCGUGGGUGAAGAAGGCCUUCGGGUCGUAACGCCCUGUCAGGUGGGAAGAAGGGUCCUAUCAGGAAAGGGGUGGGAUUUGACGGUACCACCAGAGGAAGCACCGGCUAACUCCGUGCCAGCAGCCGCGGUAAUACGGAGGGUGCGAGCGUUAUUCGGAAUUACUGGGCGUAAAGCGCGUGUAGGCGGGGGAGCAAGUCUGAUGUGAAAGCCCCGGGCUUAACCCGGGAAGUGCAUUGGAAACGGUUUUGCUUGAGUACUGGAGAGGAAGGGGGAAGUGCCGGUGUAGAGGUGAAAUUCGUAGAGAUCGGGAGGAAUACCAGUGGCGAAGGCGCCCUUCUGGACGGUUACUGACGCUGAGACGCGAAAGCGUGGGGAGCAAACAG